UCCCUGGUGGCUCAGAGGUUAAGGCGCCUGCCUGGAAUGCGGGAGACCUGGGUUUGAUCCCUGGGUCGGGAA
Ovis aries (sheep) is the source of this 72-nucleotide non-coding RNA. The record is from Rfam. NCBI's taxonomy places the organism in Eukaryota, Metazoa, Chordata, Mammalia, Artiodactyla, Bovidae.